This 252-nucleotide ribosomal RNA is filed under the name uncultured bacterium. RNAcentral's name for it is "partial 16S ribosomal RNA". It matches the Rfam family "Bacterial small subunit ribosomal RNA", at positions 525 to 776 of the family's 1533-position model. The record is from RNAcentral.
ACGUAGGAUUCAAACGUUAUCCGGAUUUACUGGGCGUAAAGCGCGUGCAGGCGGUUUGGUAAGUUGGAUGUGAAAGCUCCGGGCUCAACCCGGAGAGGUCGUUCAAUACUGCCAGACUAGAGGACGAUAGAGGAAGGUGGAAUUCCAGGUGUAGUGGUGAAAUGCGUAGAUAUCUGGAGGAACACCAGUGGCGAAAGCGGCCUUCUGGGUCGGUCCUGACGCUAAGACGCGAAAGCUAGGGUAGCAAACGGG